Molecule: long non-coding RNA, 2267 nt
Organism: Cyprinus carpio carpio
Lineage: Eukaryota; Metazoa; Chordata; Actinopteri; Cypriniformes; Cyprinidae
Source: Ensembl
CUAAGAUACAAGCUAUUAUAUAACGUAAAGGCUAAUUUCAGUUUGGAAAAGGGAGCAGAAGCUUGUCAUUGCUGAUGAAUAUUAUCAUAAAAAUGGGAAUGGGAAAAUAUAUGUUUGAGCCCAAGAAGCUAAUGCCAGUAAUAUAGACUUUAUGUGGAAGUUGAGUUUUAGUCCAAGCUAUUUCUGUUUGACAAUUGAAUUAAAUGAUUUGAGCUAUUAAUUGGCAGGUUACAAUGCCGUUUAAAAUGAACUAUGUCUGAAAUUGAUUUGCAGAUGUCUACUGUAUUAUCUUUGACUUCAGGUUAAAGGUUUAUUUGUCUCUUUCUAACAGAACAACUUGCUUGUUUCAACACCACUAAUGCUUCCCAAAAAUCUUUUUUUUUUUUCAUGGAUGGUAAAACUGUCAUGAACUGUUAUGAAAACAAUUGAUUAGGCUUUCCUCAUGCUUCAUAGUGAAAAUCAUCUUUGUGCACGGCAGAUGUAUUUGAAGUGCUGUGACCUCUGUGCAUACUAAUGGCGCUUUAUCUUUCACAUGGUGAGAGAAUGCCAGAUGGUAUGAUGCUUGGAUAACAUGUUUAAGCUAUAAUUUUGAUGUGCUAUCAGCUAAAGUGCCCAGCCAAUCUAUCUUUUGUUGGGUUCCGCAGAUAUGGAUUCUUGCGCUAAAUUAUGCACAAUGUUUACACGAUGCAUAAAAUCAGCAUAGUUUAUUGGCUUUCAAAAAUGCACCAAAAUAUGAGUCAGCACAAAAUGGAUCACGCUAAACAAACCGAAAAUGGAUCAUCUCCUUUUUAAGUAUCCAUUUGCAUUUCAAAUAAAAAUCAUUCUAUGCCUGUCACGUUUGUUCAGUGGAUUCUGGCUUAAAGGGAUAGUUCACAAAAAUGAAAAUUCUGUCAUCAUUUUUUCACCCUUAUGUCAUUUCAAACAUCUUCAACCAAACACAGAAAAAAAGUCUUGGUUGUUGUUUUUUUUUUGUUUUUUUACGAUGAAAGUCAACAGGGUCCAGUUACUUAAUCAUGAAUAACAUUAGCCUAUAGGUAAUUUAUUUUUAGAUGUAAAUAACAUUCGGAAACUCUAAUUGAAAUAAGGAUCAAUAAAUACUGCAAGAAAAAUACAACACCAGAAAUGCCAUUUAUUUAUUAUUUCAUUUGAUAUGGGCAAUGUGGACCAAAGCACACAGAGGUGCACUGUAGAUAGGGCAUUGAAGAAGUCCUAAAAAAGAAACAAAUAAGUAAUAUAAGACAUAAUCUCAGCCUCAGACGUCUGGUGCAACCGGCCCCUGCAGAGAAAAGAAAGUCAUACAGGUUUGGAAAAAAAAAAGGUGAGUAAUUCUGGCAACUUUCCUGUUAUGGUGAACUAUAUCUUUAAGACUUUGUUUACUGAUAAAGAAAAAAAAAAAAGCAUUAAAAUCAGUGAUUGCACAUGUAUGUUAUUGCUCCUUUUUAGCUGCUGCUCUCACAAUAUCUCAUGAAAGUUUUAUUUCCCAAAGUAUCUGAUUUCUAAUCUAAUGUAAAACAGAUGGAGUGGGCACAUUGACUUCAGCACAGGUGUGGGAGGUACGCUAUUCAUUACAGGAUAAGGUGUCUACUGUGAACUCAAGAGUUUAAUUUGGAUCCAUUUGAAAGUAUCCUGGAAACAAACGUGCCACUCCUCGUGCUACAUACUGCACCACUGCGCAAACAUCCCCACAGUAACAGGCACGCUAUAGCUUCUCUUCUCUUCUCUUCUCUUCUCUUCUCUUCUCUUCUCUUCUCUUCUCUUCUCUUCUCUUCUCUUCUCUUCUCUUCUCUUCUCUUCUUGACAUUUCUGGUGGGGGGUUCGGGGGGUUGGUGUACGGGGGCGGAGAGAAAAGUUUGGACCAGUAAACCAAAAUGCUCUUAAACCUGUUGCUAGGGGCAACUGCUCAUGACUGCGGAGCUGACAAAGCAGGAUGCAGAAAUGUCUCCUGUUUAAAUAUGGCUGAGCAGAUAUUCUAUGGAUCAUAAUGCAUCAGUGUCACAGCUUAACAUUUUAGUUAAGUGGCAUUAUUUGCCUCCAGAAUUGAUUUCCAUAGGGACAAUUAUAGUGUACAACCACUCAUGUGACCUUUUGUGUUCUCCAGAAGAACAAACUGUAUACAGGUUUGGAACAACAUGAGGGUGAGUAAAUGACCAAAUAUUGAGUACUCCUUAGAUUGCCUAAUUAGACAUCUUUCCACUUAGUUAAUGAAACGCUGUUGAUUUAAUCACAUUCAAUAAAACAGAAAAUCAUAAGCAGGUCUUUUGUCUCAA